GUGUUUCCUGUGCGGUGUGUAUUUUUAGCCUAUAUUUAGACUACAGAGAUAUUUCAGUAUUUGCGUUUAUCAUUGAAUCUGUAUAAGCAUGGUCUUUAUCGUUGGUUCUGUAACAGUAGUCAUACACAUGUUCCUCUGCAUUCUAUUGGAAAGUCGGUGAUGUUGUUUGUCAAAUAAAUUUUGGCUAAUCUGAACUGAAUGUUAUCAUAUUGUAUGUUUUUCUGGGUCAUAUUGUAUUUUUUAACAUAAUAAGAUGUUAAGUUUGACCACACAUUGCCCAUGAUCCCGGGUUUCUAAGCUUCUGUAUCUAUAUCAUCAUUUGGCAUGAAAAUGAAAGUGAGGACUCGUUUUUUGGUAAUUUAGUUCAUAUCUGUCUUUGUAAUUCAAAAGGAUGAUUAUGGUUGAUUGAAUGAGUGUACUCUUAAGGUAUAUCAAUUUCAGUACUUGGUUGAUAGGUACACUUAAAAUGUAGUUUGUAAUGGGAAGAUAACUGGUAUAUAUCUAUAUGCACAUGGCAUCCACCAUAUACGCAUGUUUUUUAGUCUAAAUGAAAUACAACCAGCAAAUGAUGCUGAUUUUUUCAAGCAGGCUAAACCAGAGACUCUGGACAA
RNAcentral lists this unclassified non-coding RNA (611 nucleotides) under Hevea brasiliensis (rubber tree). Lineage: Eukaryota; Viridiplantae; Streptophyta; Magnoliopsida; Malpighiales; Euphorbiaceae. The record is from RNAcentral.